CCCUUAGAUGUUCUGGGCCGCACGCGCGCUACACUGAUGAACGCAACGAGACCACCUGUACCGAAAGGCAUGGGUAAACUUGUGAAAGUUCAUCGUGAUGGGGAUAGAUUAUUGCAAUUAUUAAUCUUCAACGAGGAAUUCCUAGUAAGCGCGAGUCAUCAGCUCGCGUUGAUUACGUCCCUGCCCUUUGUACACACCGCCCGUCGCUCCUACCGAUUGAAUGGUCCGGUGAAAUCUUCGGAUUGCUGGAUAGGACUUCAUUGACCUAUCUACGAGAAGUUGCUUGAACCUUAUCAUUUAGAGGAAGGAGAAGUCGUAACA
RNAcentral lists this ribosomal RNA (321 nucleotides) under uncultured eukaryote. RNAcentral describes it as "partial 18S ribosomal RNA". It matches the Rfam family "Eukaryotic small subunit ribosomal RNA", at positions 1470 to 1796 of the family's 1831-position model. The record is from RNAcentral.